This 807-nucleotide ribosomal RNA is filed under the name Triticum aestivum (bread wheat). RNAcentral describes it as "partial small subunit ribosomal RNA". Lineage: Eukaryota; Viridiplantae; Streptophyta; Magnoliopsida; Poales; Poaceae. The record is from RNAcentral.
AUGGGCAUUAUGGUUGGCAAGACGGAGAAAGUGGAUAUGGCCUUUACUCGUGCACAUGGAGUGGCCCGCAUCUUAGUGAGCGUUUUGGAUAUUGAGUUCGUGCCUGACGUGGUUAACUGGACUUAUAGAGGAGAGGUGUUUCCUCUUGAGAUCGAGUUUGAGGACGCCGCCCUGUUUGCUGAGGCAAUGAUUGGGAAGGAUGUUGACAUGCACGAGGGGGACGACAGUGCGGGAGCUGAGGGGGCACCGACUGACGAGUCGACUCGUGAGGGGACUAACGGCUCUCAUCCUGUGGCUCAGACCGGGGAUGGGACCGGGGUUGAGCCGGCACCUUCACCAUCGGUGCCUAUGACUCCGUUGCGGUUCGGGUCCUUUGAGCCAGCCUCUGCCCCUCCCAGACUUUGGAGUGACCGGGUAGAUUCUGAUGAUGCAUUUGAGCAGUCACUACCUUUGUUGGAGUUCGAGGAUGCCGGUGGGGCACUGGCUGGAUGCUUGGUGCGGACAUCGUCGGUGAGGACUUUGGUUGGCUCCGGGGACGGGGAGUCGGUGGUUGCUCCACCGGAGGUCGACGUUCCGGACAUAACGGCUGCGGCUGAGGUGGGGCGUGGGGGAGGGGGGUCGGGGCAGGUGGCUCCCACUUCCCCCUUCACUAUCCCGACAUCGGCAUCGCUGGUCAUGACGGGACCGGCGGGUACUGGGAGAGGAGGCCCGAGGCAGGCGGCCUCGGCUCUCUCUCCUUCGGGCGUGGCGGCGGCAGCCGCGCCUUCUGUGGAGUUGGGGAGGGGGGUUUGGGGCAGGCGGCCCUGA